AUGCCUUCGACUCCACAGCAGCCCUCUGGGCACACGGUGGGACUCCCUGCGGCAGAGCUGGGGUCGUGGCCCCCACUGGCCUGCGGGCCAUGCAUCCCCAUCAUGCUGGCCCUGGCCUCCCUCGCCGCGCUCUUCCUCCUAACGACAGCCGUGUUGGCCGAACGCCUGUUCCGCCGCUCUCAGCACCCGGACCCCAGCAACCACGCACCCACCCUGGUCUGGCGCCCGGGAGGAGAACUGUGGAUCGAGCCCCGGGGCACCCCCCGAGAGCGCUCAGAAGACUGAUGCUGAGACUGGAGAGCGGGGGUCCCGUGGAUGCGGAAGAACAGGCUGAAUGUGGGUGUCGAGGGUCAGUCCCGCCAGCAGGAGAGGACAGGAAGCCAGCCUCCCAGAGCCACAGAUAUGCCUCCAGGAAAACACACACAGAGGUCAAGACCAGGCAGAAGAUCCUCUUAUUACAUCUCACCUGUGGCUUUGACCCCCAACUCGCAACACGGAACUUGGUCAGACAAACUGGAGAGGCCCCUUCCUUGCCUACAGCUGGGACCUCUCGUUAACGGAGAUCAGCAGACAGCCCUGCGACUGCCAGCCGAGGAGAUGUGAGUUCGAUCCAACGUGGAAAGGAAAACCGUGCCAGGGUAGAGAGCCGCUCCUAAUAUGCGGCCUCUGGCCACCCUUCCUCCCAGCUUGCUGGAUCGGUCAGGAGAGACGGAUGGGCCCCAAGGCAGGCUUAUUUAUAACGCUCCACCCUGGAGAAAUGGAGCUCAGAGAUGUCCUUGGCUCUACAGCCGUCUGUCCGAGCAGACCUCCACUCUGGGAGACGAACCAGGAGCUGGGGAGAGGGGAAGGAGUCUCCAUUCCCAGGGGUCAGACUUCCCCAACUUCAGUCGUGAAUGUUAGGAUUUUUGCCGUUGCCACUUUACCGCCGGUACUAUUAUUUACUUCAUGUUUUUCUUUAAGAUGAUUUACUAUUUGCUUAAUAAAUUUAUUUGAAAAGGAACCUUUUUUGUAUCA
Molecule: long non-coding RNA, 1014 nt
Filed under: Ursus maritimus (polar bear)
Lineage: Eukaryota; Metazoa; Chordata; Mammalia; Carnivora; Ursidae
Description: lncRNA (ENSUMAG00000011309.1)
Source: RNAcentral